This is a non-coding RNA of Podarcis lilfordi (Lilford's wall lizard), 78 nucleotides long. The record is from the annotation of a GenBank genome assembly. Lineage: Eukaryota; Metazoa; Chordata; Lepidosauria; Squamata; Lacertidae.
AUAUAUAUAUAUACACACACAUAUAUAUAUAUAAGUAUAUAUAUAUGUAUAUGUAUAUGUAUAUGUAUAUAUGUAUAU